CUAGCGACUUCAGAGUUUGAUCCUGGCUCAGGACGAACGCUGGCGGCGUGCCUAACACAUGCAAGUCGAACGGGGUCGUGCUCGGUGGCAACACCUUGUACGGCCUAGUGGCGAACGGGUGAGUAACACGUGAGGAACCUGCCCCGAAGACCGGGAUAACAGAAGGAAACUUCUGCUAAUACCGGAUACCCCCACCGAAUCGCAUGGUUUGGUGAGGAAAUGGAUUCCGCUUCGGGAGGGCCUCGCGGCCUAUCAGCUUGUUGGUGGGGUAACGGCCUACCAAGGCAUCGACGGGUAGCUGGUCUGAGAGGACGAUCAGCCACACUGGGACUGAGACACGGCCCAG
RNAcentral lists this ribosomal RNA (346 nucleotides) under uncultured bacterium. Its description in RNAcentral is "bacterial SSU rRNA". It matches the Rfam family "Bacterial small subunit ribosomal RNA", at positions 1 to 334 of the family's 1533-position model. The record is from RNAcentral.